Molecule: ribosomal RNA, 468 nt
Filed under: uncultured bacterium
Lineage: Bacteria
Description: partial 16S ribosomal RNA
Rfam family: Bacterial small subunit ribosomal RNA
Source: RNAcentral
GACGAACGCUGGCGGCGUGCUUAACACAUGCAAGUCGAACGGAAAGGCCCUGCUUUUGUGGGGUGCUCGAGUGGCGAACGGGUGAGUAACACGUGAGUAACCUGCCCUUGACUUUGGGAUAACUUCAGGAAACUGGGGCUAAUACCGGAUAGGAGCUCCUGCUGCAUGGUGGGGGUUGGAAAGUUUCGGCGGUUGGGGAUGGACUCGCGGCUUAUCAGCUUGUUGGUGGGGUAGUGGCUUACCAAGGCUUUGACGGGUAGCCGGCCUGAGGGGGUGACCGGCCACAUUGGGACUGAGAUACGGCCCAGACUCCUACGGGAGGCAGCAGUGGGGAAUAUUGCACAAUCGGCGGAAGCCUGAUGCAGCAACGCCGCGUGCGGGAUGACGGCCUUCGGGUUGUAAACCGCUUUCGCCUGUGACGAAGCGUGAGUGACGGUAAUGGGUAAAGAAGCACCGGCUAACUACGUG